UACGUAGGGCGCAAGCGUUAUCCGGAAUUAUUGGGCGUAAAGAGCUCGUAGGCGGUUUGUCGCGUCUGCCGUGAAAGUCCGGGGCUCAACUCCGGAUCUGCGGUGGGUACGGGCAGACUAGAGUGAUGUAGGGGAGACUGGAAUUCCUGGUGUAGCGGUGAAAUGCGCAGAUAUCAGGAAGAACACCGAUGGCGAAAGCAGCUCUCUGGGACGGUACUGACGCUGAGGCGCGAAAGCGUGGGGAGCGAACAGG
This 253-nucleotide ribosomal RNA is filed under the name uncultured bacterium. RNAcentral describes it as "partial 16S ribosomal RNA". It matches the Rfam family "Bacterial small subunit ribosomal RNA", at positions 524 to 776 of the family's 1533-position model. The record is from RNAcentral.